Molecule: ribosomal RNA, 520 nt
Filed under: uncultured Glomeromycotina
Lineage: Eukaryota; Fungi; Glomeromycota
Also listed under: 1 other name
Description: SSU rRNA
Rfam family: Eukaryotic small subunit ribosomal RNA
Source: RNAcentral
AGCAGCCGCGGUAAUUCCAGCUCCAAUAGCGUAUAUUAAAGUUGUUGCAGUUAAAAAGCUCGUAGUUGAAUUUCGGGAUUUGCACAUCGGUCGUGCCUUAAGGGGUAUGAACUGGUGUAGUGAAUUUCUCACCUUCUGGAGAACCGUGAUGUCCUUAAUUGGGUGCCACGAGGAACCAGGACCUUUACUUUGAAAAAUUAGAGUGUUUAAAGCAGGCAUUUUUGCUUGAAUACAUUAGCAUGGAAUAAUAAAAUAGGACGGCAUGAUUCUAUUUUGUUGGUUUCUAGGAUCACCGUAAUGAUUAAUAGGGAUAGUUGGGGGCAUUAGUAUUCAAUUGUCAGAGGUGAAAUUCUUGGAUUUAUUGAAGACUAACUACUGCGAAAGCAUUUGCCAAGGAUGUUUUCAUUAAUCAAGAACGAAAGUUAGGGGAUCGAAGACGAUCAGAUACCGUCGUAGUCUUAACCAUAAACUAUGCCGACUAGGAAUCAGACGAUGUUAAUUUUUUAAUGACUCGUUUGGC